UCGGGGAUCGUGCUAACGGUAGGCGGCCUGGCUUUGACCCAGGAGAUGGAGGUUCGAUUCCUCCUCCCCGAA
RNAcentral lists this transfer RNA (72 nucleotides) under Pirellulaceae bacterium. It matches the Rfam family "tRNA". From Rfam's summary of the family: Transfer RNA (tRNA) molecules are approximately 80 nucleotides in length. Their secondary structure includes four short double-helical elements and three loops (D, anti-codon, and T loops). The record is from Rfam by way of RNAcentral. Lineage: Bacteria; Pseudomonadati; Planctomycetota; Planctomycetia; Pirellulales; Pirellulaceae.